CUAGAAAUUGUUGUGAAAUCGAAGGAAAUUGAGGGCUGAAGGUUUGCUUGUGAAAUCUGAGAAAUCUUGAUGUUUUUUUCUUCAACAGCUGAAGGUUCUGUUCUGACAUCUUUGAGGUUAUAGCUGAAGAAACUUCAAGUUUGAGCUGUUGAGAUGACCCUUUUGUGUUGGCGUCUUAAGUGCAUCAAGUAUUUUAUGUGGCGGAUCCAAUCGAGAAGGAUGUUUAUUAUGCAAGGAAUAAAGUGCCUG
Long non-coding RNA from Solanum stenotomum, 249 nucleotides. RefSeq lists it as uncharacterized. NCBI's taxonomy places the organism in Eukaryota, Viridiplantae, Streptophyta, Magnoliopsida, Solanales, Solanaceae. The record is from RefSeq and is a predicted model, not a curated record. The transcript is spliced from 2 exons.